RNAcentral lists this long non-coding RNA (6573 nucleotides) under Manihot esculenta (cassava). Its description in RNAcentral is "long non-coding RNA (MESC_LNC003056)". Lineage: Eukaryota; Viridiplantae; Streptophyta; Magnoliopsida; Malpighiales; Euphorbiaceae. The record is from RNAcentral.
AUUUUACUGAAGAACAGUUGAAAAAAAUUUUCAUGGAAUUCGACGAGAAUCGCGACAAUCUUCUCAGCAAAGAUGAGAUAAAAAAAGCUUUCAACUACCUUGGAGCAAUGAUUCCUGAGUUCAGGGCAAUCCGUGGGAUAAAAAAAGCUGAUACUAAUGGAGAUGGAAUGGUGGAUCUUAGCGAGUUGAAUGAUCUUAUCAGUUAUGCUUUUAAACUUGGAUACUCUGUUAAGUAGAAAUUAGAAGCAGCUGCUAGGUUUACUCUUUAAAAUAAAGGGUUGUGUGUUGUGUAUGCAGUUGUUAAUUUUCUCAGUUCACUGCCACCAGCUAUGAAGUUGUAGCUUCUUUUCUAUUUCGAUAGAAAUAUAUAUAUAUAGUAUCUCUUAUAUGCCCUUUAAAUUAAAUAUAUAUUAUUGUAUUUUUUUAGAUAAAUUAUAUUUUAAUUCCUGAAUCGAUUCUUAUUUCUAAAAUCAAACGCUUAAAUUUUUAUAUAAUCAAUCCAUUCAAAUUGGAUAUUUUUCUAUCCAUAAUUUUAUUAGUUAACCAAUCAAAAGAAGAAUAAAUAUUUAAAAUAUUUAAAACACCUUCAUGAACACUUAAAUUAUUUUCAAUAUAGGUAAUUUGUGUAAAAUGCACUUUGAUUCCUAAAUUUUAACAUAACUGAUGGAUCAAUUUUUAUAUUUCUAAAACUAAAUUUUUAAAUUUCUCGAUAUUUAAUCCGUUUAAAAUUAUAAUUUUUUCAUCCAUUAUAGAUAUUAGUUCAAAACUAGCCUAUAAUCAAAUUGUUUUCCAAAAUACAAUUUUUUCUUAAAAUAUUUUUUAUAAAAAUUUACAACUGGCCUAAAUUCAAAAUUGAAUAAUAAAAUUAUAAAUAUUAAAGUAUUUUAAUGAAUAGAAAUUGAAUGAUAAAAAGUGUUAAAAAUUAGUUAAAUGUGAUUUAAAUGUACGUUUUUAAAAAUACAAAAAUCGAUAUAUUAAUUAUAUUAAAACUCAAAAAUUUAAUUAUAAUUUAUCCAUUUAAAAAAAUAAUAAAAAUAUUUCUAUACUUUUAACGAUAAAAAUAGAUGAUAUCACUUUUAAUUUGAAUGAACUAAUUAUAAAAAAAUUUAAAUAAUUAAUUUUAAAAAUAUAAAAAUUAAUCGAUUAAUUAUAUUAAAAAAUUAAAAAUUAAAUUAUAAUUUAAGAUUAAAGUGUAAUUUACCUUUUUUCUAACACGUAAAAUUAAAGCCUUAACCUAAAAUUUUAAAACUUUACACUUUCUAUGAUUAUAUAUCCGUUUUAUAUCCACUCUAAAUAAAACUCUAGAAAAUUAGCGGGUACAGUAGAAUUUUUUUUUUAAUUUAAACAAUAACGUAAUUUUUAAUAUUUUGAGUUACCUAAGUUUUGUUUAUAAAAUUAAAAAUAUAUUUUAUAUUUUUUAAUAGUUGACUUAAUUAAAAAAAUUUCAUAUAAUUAAAUUUGACAACCAGUCGCAAGGUGAGAAUUUUUACAUAUGAAAUUCAGUAGAAGCGUAAUUUCAUUUCUGCUUCUAUUUUUAAAUUUUCUUUUCCAAAAAAGGCAAGAUAUUUGUCUACGUAAUUUUUAAGGACUAUAAUUUAGGAAUGAUUGUGGAGAAUAUUUCUAAAUAUUAUUGUUAAAUAGGAAUAAUUUUUUAAAAAAAUUCUAAAAACUUUAUCACUUUUAAUAAUUCUAUUUUUUAAAAGAAAAAAAACUAUUAUAAACUAAUUCUAUCAUUAACCUCUUUUAUUAAAUUUAAUCGUAUUAUUGAAUUUUAUAUUAAUUUGGAUUACAAAUAAUAUAUUCUUUAAAAGAGAUUAAAAUACUUUUCCUCUUAAAUUAAUUUUUAAGGUGAAUUAUUCUGACUCAAAUUUAACAUAUACCAGGGGCUUUCACCACCGAUAUUGAACCUCCCAAUGUCACACUCCUAGUCUCAAAUUUAACAUAAAAAAAAUUUGAUUUAAAAUUUAGCUGUUACUCUUUAUUAAUUUAUAAUAUAUUUGAGAAUUUAGAAAAAUAAAGAAUAAAAUUAUAAAUUAUAUUAAGUGAAACUAAAGGCGCUACACAUCGGAUGGCUGUUUUUUUAAUAAAAAAGGGUAAUUUUGGUAGGUUUAGUAAAUUAAAAUUUCAAUAAAUUAAGUCAAGUAAAUUAUUUUAUUCAGGACUGUUUGAUUUCAGCUAUACGGUUGUCGCAGUGUUCUUGGCAUGGUGUACGUCGGAUGGCGAAAGAAGUUGCACAUCGUCUUGCGAAGCUAAAUUUAGGAGAUGUGGAGAAAGUGUUGACAGAAGAAGUUCCAAACUCUUAUCUUUUUAUAUAAAACACAAGCAAAAUAUUCCAUUUAAAUUAAAAAAAUCAAUUUAAAAAGAAGUUUAUAUUGAAUAAUCACCUGAUUUUAUUGCUGGAGUUAGGCAAGAUUUAUAAACUUCAAAAUCCCUCUAUGGCUUAAAACAGAGUACUCAAGCAUAGUUUAGCAAGUUUAGUGAGAUGGUUUAAGAGUUUGAUAUAUAGAUUAAUAAGUGUGAUCACUCAAUAUAUUUUAUAGAAAUUCUGAUAGUAGAAUAAUGCUAUUGGUAGUAUAUGUGGAUAAUAUUAUUAUCAUAGAAAGUGAUGUUGAUGGCAUUACAUCUCUAAAAUAAUUUCUCAAACUGAAGUUUCAUAAAAAGAGUUUGGGCUCCUUAUAGUACUUUUUAGGUAUUAAAGUUAUGCAGUGUAAGAAAAAUAUUUUCUUAUCUCAAAGAAAAUAUAUUCUUGAUUUGUUGAUAAAAAUAGAAAAAUUGGGUGUUAAGCCUUGUAGUGCACUAAUGACCCUAAUUUAUAAUUUACCACAAAAGACAAUGAGCCAUACAGAUCUUGAAAUGUAUAGAAAAUUAGUUGACAAACUGAAUUAUUUGACGGUGACUCGUCCUGAUAUUGCAUAUUCAGUUAAUGUAGUAAAUCACUUUAUAUCUUUCCCUACUGUUACUCAUUGGGAUGCUUUGGAGCAGAUUGUUUGCUACUUGGGUUCCAAGAUGUGGUCUUUUCUAUGGUAACUAUGGGUACUCAAACAUUAAAUGUUUAUCUAAUGUUGAUUAGGCAAGUUCAAAAGUUGAUAAGAUGUCAAUCACUGGAUAUUGUGUUUUUAUGGAAGGUAACUUGAUCUCAUGGAGAAGUAAGAAGCAAAAUAUAGUCUCUCGUUCUAGUGCUGAAUCUGAGCGUGGUGUGAUAAUCAAACAGUUAUCUACAUUACCUCUAAUCCAUAUUUCAUGAGAGGACUAAACAUAUCGAGAUCAACUGUCAUUUUGUUUGUAAAAAAAUCCAACAAAAGAUUAUUUCAAUAGGACAUAUCAGAAUUGGAAAUAAUUAAGGGAUAUUUCACUAAAACUCUAAUCGGAACUCGAAUCGACUAUAUAUGUAAUAAGUUAGGAAUAAUUAAUAUUUAUAUUCCAAUUAUAGGGGAGUGUUAUAGGAAGUAGGUAUGUUGAUAUAGGAACUAAAUAUGUAUAGAUUUAUUAGUUGCUUAAUUUUAGAAAUUGCAUGAUUAUAGAUUUGAUAAAAGGAUUUUUCUUUACUUUCUAAAUAGAUUUUUUUUUAUGUGUAAAUAUGUUAUAAUCUUUACUAGUAUACUCUCGAUCCAAUUAGAGCUAAGCUAUCACACUUUUAUCGUAUAAAAAUAAAUUUAUUUAUUUUUUUAUAUAAAUUAAGAAAAUAUAAUUAAUAUAGCUAAAAACAAUAAAUAUUAUAUAAUCUUUACUAAUAUACUCCCGACUCAUGUUUUUUCAGUACUACGUUACUUUUAAAUUUAUAAAAGUAUUACGAAUCAUAUAAAUCAAUUUAAUUAUAAUAAAUUUAGAAAACGAAUACUAUUGAAUUUGUCCAAUUCAUUUGCCCAAUAAGGCACAUACAAUCAGAAAAUCAAGAUCAUAUAUAAAAUUAGAGCCCAAACAAAUUCUAUAAUAUCACAAUUCUUAUCUACGUGAAUCCAAAGAAAAAGGUUCAUUGGCUAAAAAAACUUUAAUGUUUGUGAUUUUAUAUUUUAAUUUAAAUAUUUAAAAUUUAAAUAAAUUCGCACAAUGUAUGCAUUUACUUUUGAUUAAUUUUAAAAUUAGAAUUAAUUAAAAAUAAAUAAUUUAAUUAUUAAAUAUACAAACUACACAUUCAAUAUUAUUGAAUUUUAUUUUAUAUAAUAAUUAUAAAUAUUUUAUACUAGAUAUAUUAUUUAAUUUAAAAUAAUAAUAUAUAUAAAACAAUUAAAAAUAAUAUAUCUAUUAUAAAUUUUUCAUAAUUAUUAUUACAAAAUAAAAUCUAUCUAUUAUUGAAAUUAUAAACUAUAUAUUUAACCGUUAAAUUAUUAUUAUUUUUAAAAUUAAAUAUAUUAAAUUUAUAAUAUUUUUAUAGGUAGAAUUAAUUUAUACUUAAACUCUCUUAUUUUGAUUUUGAAAAUUAAUCAAAAUAAUAAUUAAAUAUAAAUAUUAGAUUAAUUUGUUUAAAGAUUAAAUAUUUGGAUUAAAAUAUAAAAUAAACUAAACUUUAGAUAUUUUUCAGCUAAUUAAAUAAAAAAAUAAAUAUGUGGUUCUAAUUAUUUUUAUAAUUAUUGUCUUAAUAUACAUAUAUCAUAUCUAUAUAAAAAGCAAUUUUUAUUUAAAUCGGUCUAGAUACAAAUACAAAAAUUUAAAAUUCAGGACACUCAAUUUAAAUAAGUAAUUAAAAUAAACAAAAUAUAUUAUUUUCUAUUAUAUUAUUUUAUUGAUUUUUUAUUAUUAUUCAAAGUUAUUAUUUUUUAUUAUAAUAAUAAAUAAUUAAUUAUUAUAAUUUUAUUUAAUUUUAUGUUAUUUCUAAAUAAUUUUAUGUUAUUUCUAAAUCAAUCUACCAUUAAUUAUUAUUUUCUAAAUAAAUAUUUAAAAUAUUUUUUAAUAUUUAAUAAAAUUAAAUUUUUAAAAUGAAUAUAAUUGAAAAGUCAAUAAAAUAAAAUAUUUUUUUUAAUAUAUGUGAAAAAUUAAAAGAAAUAAAAAUUAUAGAGUAAAAAAAUAUAAAAUAAAUAUAUAUUUAAAAAAUAAAUUUUUAUAAAAAAUAAUUAAACUAUUAUAAUUAAAUUAUAAUCAUUCUCAUCUACUUUUUUUAUUGAAAUAUAUUUUUAAUGAUAUUAUCCGGUGUUUGCAGAUAUGUCCUUCAUUACCCAUCAAUUAUUUAUAAUUUAUUAUUAUAAGUUAACUUUUAAUAAUAUUUAUAGUAGAAAAAUCUCUUUUUGCUAUGAUUGUAAUAUAUGCAAAUCCAUAAAAAACCAAUACUAUUAAAAUAAUAUAAUAUUUUAACACAUAGUUUAUUAUUGAAAUUUAAUUUUUAUAAAAUAAUAAAUAUUCUACUCUACUAAAAUUUAUUUUUAUAUAAUUUUAAACAUAUAAAUAGAUUAGUAAUUAAGUGAAAUAAAUAAAAGAAAAACUAUGACUUAAUAAUAAAAAUGGUAUAUAAAAUUUUGUACGGAUUCUACUCCUAUUUUAAAUUAUGAGUUUAUAUUGAUUCAAUUUACAUAAAUAUUUUCUCUAAAUAAGUAUUUUUGGGUUAUAAAGCGACAAGUGCAUGUUGGGAGAUGCCAAUCCAAAGUUAGAAUUCUUUGUGUGGUGAGAGAUAAGUGCACGUAGGGAGAUGCUACACCAAAGUUAGAAUUCUUGUGUGAUAGUGAUAGGAGAGUAACCUUGCACAAAGAUAAGUUAGAAUCCUGCAAGUAGAAGUGUGAAAGGAGCUUGAAGAAGUCUAUAUAAACCCUCAGUACCCCAUGCAAGCCAACAGUAUCUUCCUUAAUUCAAUACACAGCCACCUUUUGAAAAUAUGACACGAAAGCUUUCUAACAAAGCUGCGUCGGUAGAGAUUAAGAAAGAUCAGUUGAGGAAAAUUUUCAUGCAAUUCGACGAAAAUCAUGACAAUGUUCUCAGCAGCGGCGAGAUAAAGAAAGCAUUCAAGCACCUUGGGGCAACGAUUCCUCUCUACAGAGCAAUACUUGGGAAGAAGUAUGCUGAUGGCAAUAAAGAUGGAGUGAUCGACAUGAACGAAUUAGAUGACCUCGUGGAAUAUACUUAUAAGCUUCAGUAUGAAAUUAACUAGAACUUGUAAGUUACAAAAUUUGCACUAUUAUAAAUAAAGGAUUGUGUGCUGAGUGUGCACUCUAGCUUUUAAUUUUAUUUGUACUAAUGUGAUGUUCACCAGAUUUACUGUUGUAAUAUUAGAUCUAAAGGUGGUAAUCUCCGUAUUAUAUUUUUUAAGUAUUCUGAAUUUGCGAAUAUUUAUUUUAUUCAUGAAAAUUAAACUCACUUAUUAAUUUUAUUUUAAUUUAGUACGGUGAUUAAAAAAUUAUAUUAUUCUUUUAAUAGAGCUAGGUUCAUAUAUUUUCACUAAAAAUGGAUUUCCACUUUCUGCCUCAAAAGUAAUUUCCAUGUUGAAAGGCAUGCCCAAGAUGAAGUUUCAAUUGAAGAAAUUUGGGUUGCAAAUAUCUAUUUUGUGUUUUAUUCUUCUUAUCUCACUUCUCCCUAUCAGCGUAACCCUUUAUAUAUUAUCACUACAUAUCUAUUUUAUGUUUUAUUCUUCUAUCUCACUUCUCCUUAUCA